This 430-nucleotide ribosomal RNA is filed under the name Bacteroidota bacterium. RNAcentral describes it as "Bacteroidetes bacterium partial 16S ribosomal RNA". It matches the Rfam family "Bacterial small subunit ribosomal RNA", at positions 355 to 776 of the family's 1533-position model. The record is from RNAcentral. Lineage: Bacteria; Pseudomonadati; Bacteroidota.
UAGGGAAUCUUCGGCAAUGGGGGGAACCCUGACCGAGCAACGCCGCGUGAGUGAAGAAGGUUUUCGGAUCGUAAAGCUCUGUUGUUAAGGAAGAACGAGUGUGAGAAUGGGAAGUUCAUGCUGUGACGGUACUUAACCAGAAAGGGACGGCUAACUACGUGCCAGCAGCCGCGGUAAUACGUAGGUCCCGAGCGUUGUCCGGAUUUAUUGGGCGUAAAGCGAGCGCAGGCGGUCAAUUAAGUCUGAUGUGAAAGCCCCCGGCUCAACCGGGGAGGGUCAUUGGAAACUGGUUGACUUGAGUGCAGAAGAGGAGAGUGGAAUUCCAUGUGUAACGGUGAAAUGCGUAGAUAUAUGGAGGAACACCAGUGGCGAAGGCGACUCUCUGGUCUGUAACUGACGCUGAGGCUCGAAAGCGUGGGUAGCAAACAGG